AGUGAACGCUGGCGGUAGGCCUAACACAUGCAAGUCGAACGGAAGCACAGUAAGAGCUUGCUCUUACGGGUGGCGAGUGGCGGACGGGUGAGGAAUACAUCGGAAUCUACUUUUUCGUGGGGGAUAACGUAGGGAAACUUACGCUAAUACCGCAUACGACCUACGGGUGAAAGCAGGGGAUCUUCGGACCUUGCGCGAUUGAAUGAGCCGAUGUCGGAUUAGCUAGUUGGCGGGGUAAAGGCCCACCAAGGCGACGAUCCGUAGCUGGUCUGAGAGGAUGAUCAGCCACACUGGAACUGAGACACGGUCCAGACUCCUACGGGAGGCAGCAGUGGGGAAUAUUGGACAAUGGGCGCAAGCCUGAUCCAGCCAUACCGCGUGGGUGAAGAAGGCCUUCGGGUUGUAAAGCCCUUUUGUUGGGAAAGAAAAGCAGCAGGUGAAUACCCCGCUGUUCUGACGGUACCCAAAGAAUAAGCACCGGCUAACUUCGUG
Molecule: ribosomal RNA, 492 nt
Filed under: uncultured bacterium
Lineage: Bacteria
Description: partial 16S ribosomal RNA
Rfam family: Bacterial small subunit ribosomal RNA
Source: RNAcentral